This 784-nucleotide long non-coding RNA is filed under the name Fukomys damarensis (Damara mole-rat). RNAcentral's name for it is "lncRNA (ENSFDAG00000028669.1)". Lineage: Eukaryota; Metazoa; Chordata; Mammalia; Rodentia; Bathyergidae. The record is from RNAcentral.
CAGUGGUAUUCUUGAGCUGAUGACUUUUAACUUGAUGGGCUAAAAGCUUUGAGCCUCCCAGCUGGUCCAUGAGCCCCACACCAGUGUCUGAGGGAAGAGGUGGAGGAACUGGUUUAAGUUUAAGUCCUUGAGUCCAAUGUCUGAAGGUUGCAGUGGCUGAAAGCAGCUCGAGGAGAGAGAAUUCAGCCUGCCUCUACCUUUUUUUAUCCAUUCUCUGCCCUCAAGAGGACCAGGUGAUGCCUGCACACAUCCAUCAGGCACAUUUGCUUUAGUGGGUCGGCCACCAGUGCUAGUGCUGAUCUCCCUUGGAAACAGCUGCACACACAUAUCUAGCAAUAUGGUUCUCUGGGCUCCCAUGCAGCUGACAUGUACAUCUCACCCUUUCCUACAGGAAGCAGGAGAAAGCAGCAGUACUGGCUGAUGUAGCCUCCUCCUCCACCCUGGUGGCACCACGACUCCCUGGGCAUUGCUGCAAGCCAUCACUCUUCCUCCGUGGCCUUCCCUGUGGAAUGCUGCCAGUUACAGCCAGAUACCCUCCCCUGUGCAUCCAGCUGGAGCUCAGCCUGCCUUGGAGGUAAAAGACUGUGGCACCAGUGAUGAUAAUAGGACAACCUUCAGAGUACAGAGCUAAUCCUACCAUUUUCUUGACUUUUGUUGUUCAUUUUUCUCUAUGUGGAAUCUAAGCCAUGGGAAGUGCUCCAGGAAAUGGAAUCCAGAAGCAAACAGAAUCAGAGAGAAGCAAACAGAAUCUAACCAGCAAGCAUUAACACAUGCUCCACGGCCA